Molecule: long non-coding RNA, 2770 nt
Filed under: Homo sapiens (human)
Lineage: Eukaryota; Metazoa; Chordata; Mammalia; Primates; Hominidae
Description: non-protein coding lnc-SSU72P5-2:6
Source: RNAcentral
CUUUUAAAGAUGGAUGAGGCCUCGGUUCAAUGAGGGCCCCAGGCAGGGGACGGCCACACCCAGGUAAACGCUGCAUUUCUACAACAGCCACCUGUGCAGGCCCUGCAUGCUCUGUAACCUGGGGAUUUGGUCUUCUGAAAAGGGCACCAGAGAAAAACUGCUCUUAAGCCUCUGUUAACUGACACAGCAGUAGAACUCCAAGGUGUUGAUCCUUGGAUUCAUGUUUCUCAACUUCAGAGACACACAUCACUCCUUCCUGACCACUGGGCAUCCAUCCCACCAGGAGCUCCUAAUCUGAGAGCUGUUAGAAAUCCUCCAAAAGUGCUGACUGCAGAAGUUGGUAGCUUCUGCUCAAGAUGACAGAACAAGAUUAACUUUUGUAUUCUUCAGCACCUUUUUUAUUUUCCAUUAUCACACUUUGAUACCCUCUAAAACAUUAAAACACCUUCUAGAAUGCUUAUGUGAUCAACUUGAUCUUUGUCUUAUUAAUUUUGACCUCUGUCAUCUCCUUCUACCACUUAAGAAAAAACCAAAACUCCCUUGUGCAUCUUUUUCAAACCACAGCUACUGCCCUGAAUUUAACUAAUUACUGACAAAAUCUAGUAAGUAUCACUUCAGACACUUCAGAAGGAAGUACAGGCCCUUUCUAGUACUUAAGUUUGCCUUACACCACAAAUCCCAACCUUCAGUCCUGUAAAAACUGGAGCUUGAUGUCACAUCAAUGGAAUGCUUCUGACAAUGUCAUCACAAUCCUUUCAGCACAACCUGGGUGUCAUGAGUGAGCACUGACAUAGGACUAUCCUUGCUACAGCUACCACUCUGUUCUCUUCAGAGACACUCUGGCUUGCUUCUCAAAAACUGUUUAACUCUACUCAAGAACAGCCCACAAAAAAUCCUGACCCAUAGCUGUUGUGCUAAAAUGAACUUUCUGUUUCCAUACAAUCUGUGCCCCACUAAGAUGCUACCAAAGCAGACAUCAGGCUUACACUGCCUGCUGUAAUAUAGGAAGUAGAUGUUUCCACAUCAAUAAAUAUUCCUUUCAUACGCUGCUAAUGUAUUCAUGCAGCCCAUUAGAUAGAUGUACUAAAACGAAGUUAGCCAGUUUUAAAUAUAAUUUUGUAUUUAUGUGCUCUUUUAAUUUAUUCAUAUUAAAACAGACAUGAUCAUUAUCUUUUAAUAUACAUUUUACAACUUGUAUGGUUAUUUUUUGAGAAUAAGCUGACAGAUUUGGAUUGAUGGGUAAAAUGUAAGCAUAUACGUUAAAGGGUUUAAAAAAAUCUGUAAUGCUAAACUAUUAUCCAGUGAGGUUUUAUUGGUCUAUAAUCCCAACAACAGCCUACCCAUUGUCAGCUUGCUCACACCCAUGCCAGCACUGGAAUUAGCUAGCCUUUUCAUCUUCGCUGGAGCGGGAGGUGAUCCAGUAGAAAAAAAUGGCACCAUUUUUUCCCUAGUUAGAAAUUCUUGGGUUACUGGUAAAGGUGAACUUUCCUUCUGUUGUUCGGCUGGACUCUAGACAGGAGCUGGUGUGAGGCAAUUUAAAAUGCUGCUUUCCAGAGAGGCCUGGAGAGACUGUUCUCUGUGCUGUAGAGGGAGCUGUUCAUGAGAAGAGGGAGCCUGAAAGGGCGUUGUCAUUGUUGUUCUCUCCUGCUACCCCAUGCCUCACAGAAAGGUCCACAGGCCAGGAACAGGGAAAGGGGUUCCUGUGUUUAUGCCACUUGUAGACGGCACAAUACAAACCUGGCUGCAGAAAGAGAAAAAGAGAAGGUUAUCAUCAGACACAGUGAAUAAUGGGAAAUAAUUUCAGAGAAUCAGAAAACUGUUAACUAGAAAGUGAGGCUGAGGAAGUGACCUACGAGAAAUGGACAAGGACUCGAUUUACACAGUAACGAGAGGGACAGAGAGAGAAACCCAGAGAACAGGCAGUGGCUGGCACAGAGGCGGCAGGGCUGAGAGGAAUGGAGUGAGUGUCUCCCAGACAGUGAGCUCUGAGCUGCACUAUCCAGAGCACAGGGGAACGCCAGAGCGAAGAGCCCCACCUCCUCAAGGAGGCAGAGGCUUUCCACAUUUUCUCUAAACUCUCCUUCCCUCCCAAAUAAAAUGGCCCUGUCUGUCCCAUGGCCUCUGCCUCAACUACAAAAAUAUCUGUCCCCCUGGGGGUGGGGAAGGAGAGAUGUGUCAAUACCAGGGAAUGGCUCCAGUGAGGGCAAGGAGGCCUCGCUGGGCAGGCGGGGGACUACCAGCAUCCAUCUGAGCAGCCCCACUCUCAGCAUCCAGGACGACACAGAGGAAACACAAAAGCUUAUGUCCCAGAAUCCUGGAGGGAUGUGGGCAGGAGACUGGCCCUGGGACCAACUCAGACGCUCUGUUUCCACUUUCUCUCCAACAUCUCAGGCUGAUUCCUCAGGUUCCCCAUUUCAAGGUAUGACAUAAUUACAGAAUCUUACUUCAGUCUAUCAGGCUACACGAGUGGUGUCCAAAGGCCUCACACAGAUGCCUCACUCCAUCCUCUCUGAGGAGAUGAUACCUCAUUAAACUUUUCCAGAAACUAACGGUUCUUAAGAGUAAAGAUUCUGACAACAGGCAUCAACAUUUUUCAAACUGUAAGAGAGUCAUGAAGUGGAAAAUAUUUUUGGACAUCACUGCCUUUGUAGAAGAGAGAAACUAACUUCACAUUUAAGUUAAAAUAAAAACUAAACAAAACUCUCUGUGUGUGUGUGUACUGUUUGCAAAUGAUUCUGGAAGGAUACCCUCCACACGGGUAGAAGUGGAC